AGAGGAAGUAAAAGUCGUAACAAGGUUUCCGUAGGUGAACCUGCGGAAGGAUCAUUACCUAGAGUUGUAGGCUUUGCCUGCUAUCUCUUACCCAUGUCUUUUGAGUACCUUCGUUUCCUCGGCGGGUCCGCCCGCCGAUUGGACACAUUUAAACCCUUUGUAGUUGCAAUCAGCGUCUGAAAAACUUUAAUAGUUACAACUUUCAACAACGGAUCUCUUGGUUCUGGCAUCGAUGAAGAACGCAGCGAAAUGCGAUAAGUAGUGUGAAUUGCAGAAUUCAGUGAAUCAUCGAAUCUUUGAACGCACAUUGCGCCCCUUGGUAUUCCAUGGGGCAUGCCUGUUCGAGCGUCAUUUGUACCUUCAAGCUUUGCUUGGUGUUGGGUGUUUGUCUCGCCUCUGCGCGCAGACUCGCCUCAAAACAAUUGGCAGCCGGCGUAUUGAUUUCGGAGCGCAGUACAUCUCGCGCUUUGCACUCAUAACGACGACGUCCAAAAAGUACAUUUUUUACACUCUUGACCUCGGAUCAGGUAGGGAUACCCGCUGAACUUAAGCAUAUCAAUA
Molecule: ribosomal RNA, 561 nt
Filed under: Phoma sp. P9E4
Lineage: Eukaryota; Fungi; Ascomycota; Dothideomycetes; Pleosporales; Didymellaceae
Description: eukaryotic LSU rRNA
Rfam family: 5.8S ribosomal RNA (bases 198-351)
Source: RNAcentral